This 405-nucleotide ribosomal RNA is filed under the name Brevibacillus thermoruber. Its description in RNAcentral is "partial 23S ribosomal RNA". It matches the Rfam family "Bacterial large subunit ribosomal RNA", at positions 676 to 963 of the family's 2925-position model. The record is from RNAcentral. Lineage: Bacteria; Bacillati; Bacillota; Bacilli; Caryophanales; Paenibacillaceae.
GGCGUGCCCUGAGAGAUUCGAACUCCCGACCUUUUGAUUCGUAGUCAAACGCUCUAUCCGGCUGAGCUAAGGGCACACAUUGUUGUUGGGGGUCCCCGAAAACCCUUUUUACGUUUGGGGAUAAAGUAACUGGUGAGCCAUGAAGGACUCGAACCUUCGACCCUCUGAUUAAAAGUCAGAUGCUCUACCAACUGAGCUAAUGGCUGUGGCUAGCGGUGAAAUUCCAAUCGAACUCGGAGAUAGCUGGUUCUCCCCGAAAUAGCUUUAGGGCUAGCCUCGGAUGGGACCCCACUGGACGCGAGCGCAAGCUUGUGUCCGGUGGGUCCAGUGAGAGUCUUGGAGGUAGAGCACUGAUUGGGCUAGGGGCCCUCAUCGGGUUACCGAACUCAGUCAAACUCCGAAUGC